GGGCGUAGUUCAAUGGUAGAACACCAGCCUUCCAAGCUGGAUACGAGGGUUCGAUUCCCUUCGCCC
Molecule: transfer RNA, 66 nt
Filed under: human gut metagenome
Also listed under: 1 other name
Rfam family: tRNA
About the family: Transfer RNA (tRNA) molecules are approximately 80 nucleotides in length.
Source: RNAcentral